Long non-coding RNA from Salvia hispanica, 333 nucleotides. RefSeq lists it as uncharacterized. The record is from RefSeq and is a predicted model, not a curated record. NCBI's taxonomy places the organism in Eukaryota, Viridiplantae, Streptophyta, Magnoliopsida, Lamiales, Lamiaceae.
CAAGCACUGGUAUCAUCUUCACCUCUGCCUGGGGUUCUGCUGCUUCAUCUCUUGCCCAUGUUCGGCCCUAGGCUUUGCAGCCUCAACAAAGAUAACCCGCCCAUCCAGAAACUGCAGACAAGUUCAAAAUCAGACAAGGCCGGAAGAUGGUCGGUAGCUCAAGAAAACACAGCUCAUUUGUAUCGAAAUCUAAUGUUUCAGAGAAGAGGAGUUCGAUGAAUGAGAUUGAGAAGUAAGACUGAACCUUCCCAUGCAUUCCUUCAACAGCUUUAUUGGAUUCCUCCUCUGUCUUAUAUUGCAGGAAUGCAAAACCUCGAGGCCGAUUCGCUAUCC